ACGGGGUGCAGCAGGCGCGAAAACUUUACAAUGCGAGAAAUCGUGAUAAGGGAACCCCGAGUGCCCGUAAAUUCGGGCUGUCCGCCAGUGUAAAUAACUGGUGAAGAAAGGGCCGGGCAAGACCGGUGCCAGCCGCCGCGGUAAUACCGGCGGCUCGAGUGGUGGCCGCUAUUACUGGGCUUAAAGCGUCCGUAGCUGGGUUGUUAAGUCUCCUGGGAAAUCCACCGGCUCAACCGAUGGGCGUUCAGGAGAUACUGGCAACCUAGGGACCGGGAGAGGUGAGAGGUACUCCAGGGGUAGGAGUGAAAUCCUGUAAUCCUUGGGGGACCACCUGUGGCGAAGGCGUCUCACCAGAACGGCUCCGACAGUGAGGGACGAAAGCUGGGGGAGCAAACCGGAUUAGAUACCCGGGUAGUCCCAGCUGUAAACGAUGCGCGUUAGGUGUAUCGGUGACCACGAGUCACCGAGGUGCCGAAGAGAAAUCGUGAAACGUGCCGCCUGGGAAGUACGGUCGCAAGGCUGAAACUUAAAGGAAUUGGCGGGGGAGCAC
Molecule: ribosomal RNA, 550 nt
Filed under: uncultured archaeon
Lineage: Archaea
Description: bacterial SSU rRNA
Rfam family: Archaeal small subunit ribosomal RNA
Source: RNAcentral